AGAGUUCUCUUAUUAAAAUAACUGGGGGCAGCAGAACAUUCUUUUUAGGUACUGUUGUCCAUUGUCCUGGGAGUCCAGGGGGCUGUGAUCUCCUUCCUCCCCCUUCCCCUGUCCCCAGCAAAUGGGCUUUAAAGGUCUGCAGCCAGGUUACUGAUGAGGAGGCCUAGGUUCCCUUCCUCUUUGCUUCUGGGAGCAUCUUGAGCAGUGCAGAGUGGCUUCCCAGCCCCAGAUGGCAGGAUUGGGGUGGGUUUGGGAUCUGCUGCCUUUGCUCAGUGUGCAGGGUUGGGAUGGAAAUGGGGGAUAGGCUAGGGCCUCUGCAUUAGGCUGCCUUCUUAGGCAGCUGGGCUUUCACUCCCAGCUCCUCUUCCAUUUCCACGAUGUCCUUCUUCCUAGGCACUGCGAGGGGAGGAGAAAAGGGGCUUUGCAGAGGCUGGGGUGUGCCUGGGAGUAUUCCCAGGAAGUGCCUGGCUGGUGAAACAACCAGGGAGCUGCUCCUGGGAGCUGGGCUGAGGCUUUGCUGGGCUGCCUCUCCCAGUCACCCUUCUCCCAGCCCCCACCACGCCUUCCCCCGUGGGGAGGGGCAGGGGGCUGGAGGAACACAGCUUCCCCCUGUUCCAGCAGAGAAAUGCUGGCUGGAUGCCUCCCCUAGGGUUCCCAGGCUGACUAGGGUGUGGCAGGCCUUCUGAUGGAGCCCACUCAUGCUGGGCCGCUGCCCAGGGGCUUUGUGGCACCUAGGUCGAGAUGGUACUCAGGCCAGGGGUCAGGAUUCCUGGGUGCUCUGGUCCUGGUGCCUCUGUCCCAUCUUUAGGCUGGGAUUCCUGCCACCUUGCUGCUCUGGGGCUCAAAUACUUUGAGACCAGGCUAUAGGCUUCUCCCACUGACUCUCCUUUCCCUCCCUGCGGUCUCCUCUCUCUCCAGAGAUGCCCUGUAUCCAAGCCCAAUAUGGGACACCAGCACCAAGUCCAGGACCCCGUGACCACCUGGCAAGCGACCCCUUGACCCCUGAGUUCAUCAAGCCCACCAUGGACCUGGCCAGCCCCGAGGCGGCCCCCGCUGCCCCCACUGCCCUGCCCAGCUUCAGCACCUUCAUGGACGGCUACACAGGAGAGUUUGACACCUUCCUCUAUCAGCUGCCGGGAACAGUCCAGCCAUGCUCCUCAGCCUCCUCCUCAGCCUCCUCCACAUCCUCGUCCUCAGCCACCUCCCCUGCCUCUGCCUCCUUCAAGUUUGAGGACUUCCAGGUGUACGGCUGCUACCCCGGCCCCCUGAGCGGCCCGGUGGAUGAGGCCCUGUCCUCCAGUGGCUCUGACUACUAUGGCAGCCCCUGCUCGGCCCCAUCACCCUCCACGCCCAGCUUCCAGCCGCCCCAGCUCUCUCCCUGGGAUGGCUCAUUCGGCCACUUCUCGCCUAGCCAGACUUACGAAGGCCUGCGGGCAUGGACAGAGCAGCUGCCCAAAGCCUCUGGGCCCCCACAGCCUCCAGCCUUCUUUUCCUUCAGUCCUCCCACCGGUCCCAGCCCCAGCCUGGCUCAGAGCCCCCUGAAGUUGUUCCCCUCACAGGCCACCCACCAGCUGGGGGAGGGAGAGAGCUAUUCCAUGCCUACGGCCUUCCCAGGUUUGGCAUCCACUUCUCCACACCUUGAGGGCUCGGGGAUACUGGAUGCACCUGUGACCUCAACCAAGGCCCGGAGCGGGGCCCCAGGUGGAAGUGAAGGCCGCUGUGCUGUGUGUGGGGACAACGCGUCGUGCCAGCAUUAUGGCGUCCGCACCUGCGAGGGCUGCAAGGGCUUCUUCAAGGUACUGCGCGGCCCCAGGUGGGGCUUUUUGUUGGAAAUGGAGAGAGGCUGGCUUCAUCCCAUUGGGUCCUGUGGUCUCCCCUGGGUUCUCCUCGUAGCUAAGUCCUGUCCCGCAGGGUGGUAUCAGCCCUGCCAGGUGGGCCGCCUUCCUGGAGACCUGUAGAUGCCAGGGCUGGAAGCUUUCAUUUGCCAGGACACUCAGGCCCAUGGGAUUGCACAGAGCUGGAGGGAGGGGUGAGAUAGGGGCAGAUAGGAGCUGCAGGGGUGCCUGGCGAGCCUCUGGUUUUCCUCUGCCUGUCCUCCCCCAACUCAAGGUUCUAGUGGGAAGGGGUGCCCCCAGGCUCUCAUGUUCCUGGCAUGAGAUGAAAGGAUCCCUGCAGAGGGUUUGGUUCCUGAGGGCUGGGGGUGGACUUGGGAACAGGCUGUGUGUUUGUCCCAGCGAUGGUGCCUGCUUAGCUUCCCAUCCCCACCCCCCAGCCCCUUGGCCCUCUCCUAUCUGCCCUAGGGAGAGGGCAGGCAGACAAGGGCCCAUGAAAAAAUACAGGUGUCUGGACUGCCAGGGAGACCCUGGCCCCCAGUAUUGUGUCCUGGGGUCUUCCUCAGAGCGAGAAACCUCCCCCAGUGUCUUCAAGACUUUUCUCUCCCCACCAACCCCCUAUCUCUCCCUCCCUUGCCACCCAAAUGUUAGAAAAAUAGCUGUGAACAGAGAGCGCUUUUGUCUGCAAUGGCAGCAGGAUCUGGACAGUCCCCUCCCCUAGGUUCCCCCCUCCCCACCCCACACUCUGACAGCCUGUUCCGUGUUGCCCCCCCCCACCCAGCGCACAGUGCAGAAAAACGCCAAGUACAUCUGCCUGGCUAACAAGGACUGCCCUGUGGACAAGAGGCGGCGAAACCGCUGCCAGUUCUGCCGCUUCCAGAAGUGCCUGGCGGUGGGCAUGGUGAAGGAAGGUGUGUGGCUGGGGUGCGGCCCAGCGGGGCAAGGGUAGGCUUGAGUGGAGUGGGACCACAGGGCCCCCAGGCUUCUGCCCUGGAGGACCCAAAGGAGGGCACGUCUUAUUUCCACCCCACCUCUGAACCCCAGGCCUUGGAGGGAGGCAGCCUACACCUGCCUGGAUUGUGAGGGUGGUGGCAGGGGGAGGUUCCUGUAGGGUACCUUGGAUCUCAGGGACUCUGGGUCCUAGGGACUCGGUGGGGCGCAUCUCAGCAGUGGUGUGCACGGCUUGGGCUGAGAGGCCCUUCCUCAGAUCCCUUCCUUCCUCACCCCUACCCAUUCCUUUGCAGUUGUCCGAACAGACAGCCUGAAGGGGCGGCGGGGCCGGCUACCUUCAAAACCCAAGCAGCCCCCAGAUGCCUCCCCUGCCAAUCUCCUCACUUCCCUGGUCCGUGCACACCUGGACUCAGGGCCCAGCACUGCCAAACUGGACUACUCCAAGGUGAGGUCCCACCCCGCAUCUGCCUUGGGGAGGUCUAUGAGCACAUGCAGUGCCUUUGUGCGUGUUGGGAGAGCUACCUCCUCUGGAAGGACUAAAUGAGAAAGGAAGUUUAAAAAAGAAAGAAAGAAAAGUUACUCCCUCUAGUUUGACAGAUCAAAGAGAGGAGCCCCUUCUCGGCUGACCAGAUGGGAAAAUGCACCCCCUCAGGCAGGUGGCCAAUUAGAAAAAUGUGUCCUUCUGGCAGCUGCAACCCUGGGUUAAUAUGUGAGACUUGGCAAGCGAGAGCCUGGGCAGGAUCUCAGAUCCACUCCCACUCCCGGGAUCUGGCAUCCAAGUGUCUGACACAGCCGUAUGUGGCAGUGGGUGCAGGACCCUGCCUGGGGUGCUGACCCCACUGGACCGUCCUCCUAGUUCCAGGAGCUAGUGCUGCCCCGCUUUGGGAAGGAAGAUGCUGGGGAUGUACAGCAGUUCUACGACCUGCUCUCCGGUUCUCUGGAGGUCAUCCGCAAGUGGGCGGAGAAGAUCCCUGGCUUUGCUGAGCUGUCACCAGCUGACCAGGACCUGUUGCUGGAGUCGGCCUUCCUGGAGCUCUUCAUCCUCCGCCUGGCAUACAGGUCUAAGCCAGGCGAGGGCAAGCUCAUCUUCUGCUCAGGCCUGGUGCUACACCGGCUGCAGUGUGCCCGUGGCUUCGGCGACUGGAUUGACAGCAUCCUGGCCUUCUCAAGGUCCCUGCACAGCUUGGUUGUCGAUGUCCCUGCCUUCGCCUGCCUCUCUGCCCUUGUCCUCAUCACCGACCGGCAUGGGCUGCAGGAGCCGCGGCGGGUGGAGGAGCUGCAGAACCGCAUCGCCAGCUGCCUGAAGGAGCACGUGGCAGCUGUGGCGGGCGAGCCCCAGCCAGCCAGCUGCCUGUCACGUCUGUUGGGCAAACUGCCCGAGCUGCGGACCCUGUGCACCCAGGGCCUGCAGCGCAUCUUCUACCUCAAGCUGGAGGACUUGGUGCCCCCUCCACCCAUCAUUGACAAGAUCUUCAUGGACACACUGCCCUUCUGACCCCCGCCUGGGAACACGCGUGCACAUGUGCACUCUCAUAUGCCACCCCACGUGCCUUUAGUCCACGGACCCCCAGAGCACCCCCAAGCCUGGGCUUGAGCUGCAGAAUGACUCCACCUUCUCACCUGCUCCAGGAGGUUGGCAGGGAGCUCAAGCCCUUGGGGAGGGGGAAUGCCUUCAUGGGGGUGACCCCACGAUUUGUCUUAUCCCCCCAGCCUGGCCCCGGCCUUUAUGUUUUUUGUAAGAUAAACCGUUUUUAACACAUAGCGCCAUGCUGUAAAUAAGCCCAGUGCUGCUGUAAAUACAGGAAGAAAGAGCUUGAGGUGGGAGCGGGGUUGGGAGGAAGGGAUGGGCCCCACCUGCCUGGGCAGCCUUUCCAGCCUCCUGCUGGCUCUCUCUUCCUAGCCUCCUUCCACAUGUACAUAAACUGUCACUCUAGGAAGAAGACAAAUGACAGAUUCUGACAUUUAUAUUUGUGUAUUUUCCUGGAUUUAUAGUAUGUGACUUUUCUGAUUAAUAUAUUUAAUAUAUUGAAUAAAAAAUAGACAUGUAGCUGGAA
RNAcentral lists this small RNA (4837 nucleotides) under Pongo abelii (Sumatran orangutan). RNAcentral describes it as "retained intron". Lineage: Eukaryota; Metazoa; Chordata; Mammalia; Primates; Hominidae. The record is from RNAcentral.